RNAcentral lists this ribosomal RNA (445 nucleotides) under uncultured bacterium. RNAcentral describes it as "SSU rRNA". It matches the Rfam family "Bacterial small subunit ribosomal RNA", at positions 26 to 518 of the family's 1533-position model. The record is from RNAcentral.
AGAGCGAACGCUGGCGGCAGGCCUAAAACAUGCAAGUCGAACGGACCCUUCGGGGUUAGUGGCGGACGGGUGAGUAACACGUGGGAACGUGCCUUUUGGUUCAGAACAACUCAGGGAAACUUGAGCUAAUACUGAAUAAGCCCUACGGGGGAAAGAUUUAUCGCCAUUAGAGCGGCCCGCGUUGGAUUAGCUAGUUGGUGAGGUAAAGGCUCACCAAGGCUACGAUCCGUAGCUGGUCUGAGAGGAUGAUCAGCCACACUGGGACUGAGACACGGCCCAGACUCCUACGGGAGGCAGCAGUUAGGAAUCUUGCGCAAUGGGCGAAAGCCUGACGCAGCCAUGCCGCGUGAAUGAUGAAGGUCUUAGGAUUGUAAAAUUCUUUCAGUGGGAAGAUAAUGACUGUACCCACAGAAGAAGCUCCGGCUAACUUCGUGCCAGCAGCCGC